UUCACCCUGCGCGGUUCGAUUUGUUGCGGCCUUAUAGAAUCCUACUAAUCAAAUUUUGGGAACCCGGGUCGAGGACCGGAUUGCAGACCUCCCGCUUCGGCGGAAGAAGGGAGCAUGAACGCUCUUGUAGGGUACCCACCUGCCUGUACCGGUAGGUUUUGAUUGGUUGCAGACGGCUGUGCGGGGUUUUU
Molecule: non-coding RNA, 191 nt
Filed under: Subdoligranulum variabile
Lineage: Bacteria; Bacillati; Bacillota; Clostridia; Eubacteriales; Oscillospiraceae
Also listed under: 2 other names
Description: 6S RNA
Rfam family: 6S / SsrS RNA
About the family: E. coli 6S RNA was the first non coding RNA to be sequenced, but its function was unknown until recently. It consists of 184 nucleotides that fold into an extended hairpin structure with a large single-stranded internal bulge. The 6S RNA specifically associates with RNA polymerase holoenzyme containing the sigma70 specificity factor.
Source: RNAcentral